CUGGAUUCACCUGAAACUCCAGCUGUGUUCUGCAGUUGUCUCUAGCAAGAUGAAUCCUAUUUUCAGAAUAAUGAUCAUCUUGCAAGAAAACCUAAUAUAAGAGAACAACAUCAAACUGACAGGAAGAUUGAAUGGGCUUUACCCUGGUGUGUCAUCAAAGCUAUUGCUGUGAAGCGGUGAGUUUUAGUACUACAAAAUUG
Lepidothrix coronata (blue-crowned manakin) is the source of this 200-nucleotide long non-coding RNA. RefSeq lists it as uncharacterized. The record is from RefSeq and is a predicted model, not a curated record. The transcript is spliced from 3 exons. NCBI's taxonomy places the organism in Eukaryota, Metazoa, Chordata, Aves, Passeriformes, Pipridae.